GGGAGUUGUCCAUCAUUCUCUUUUAUGAGAACAUGCUAAUAACAAAGCAUAUGGACAAGUUGAUGAAACAAAAAGGGAAUAAGUUUCAAAAUGAGUUUAAACAACUAGACAAUCCAAAUUCAACAUCUCAUGUAACGAUAUUGCUCUAUGUAGUUUUGAUAGAGAAUUAUAUUAACCACCUAGAAGGAAUGGUUGAGUAUCUAUAUCCUUAGUAGGAGCCAUGCUUCCACUAAGGAAUUGGAUAAUUCUUAUAUGACUACAUUAAAGGUCUUAGUAUGACUAAAACUUGAAGUAUGGUGUAUGACAUCGUAUAAUUAAAUGAAUAGACUUGAUAAAACAAGUCACAUAUUCAAAAGGAAUUACUUUAGAAGGAAUUCUUUUGUAUGUGAUUCGUUUAAAUAACUUGUGUUAGCUAGGGUUGUUGAUGGUCUCAAAAUUGUUGAGACAUCAUCAAUAAGCUAAUGGAUCUCAAUGAUUCUCAAUGGAUCCAAGACAAGUUAGUGGGAGCAAUAUGCAUUCAAAUCAAGAAAAUUUAAUUGUUAUUUUUGAAUGAAUGCUAAGUUACAACAAGGCCAGUGGGAGUGAUGUCAUAAUUUGAGCAACAAGAUGUGAAUAAAGUCUAUUUGAUAGACUUGAUGAAGCAUAGAUGUUACUCGAAAAAUGACAAAACAUGACACGGUCAAUUUUGAAGUAUAGACUUGAAAUUGGACUUACUGAUAUAGCAAGG
This 727-nucleotide long non-coding RNA is filed under the name Malus domestica (apple). RNAcentral describes it as "long non-coding RNA (MDOM_LNC012845)". Lineage: Eukaryota; Viridiplantae; Streptophyta; Magnoliopsida; Rosales; Rosaceae. The record is from RNAcentral.